RNAcentral lists this ribosomal RNA (492 nucleotides) under uncultured bacterium. RNAcentral describes it as "partial 16S ribosomal RNA". It matches the Rfam family "Bacterial small subunit ribosomal RNA", at positions 29 to 507 of the family's 1533-position model. The record is from RNAcentral.
AGUGAACGCUGGCGGUAGGCCUAACACAUGCAAGUCGAACGGCAGCACAGUAAGAGCUUGCUCUUACGGGUGGCGAGUGGCGGACGGGUGAGGAAUACAUCGGAAUCUACUUUUUCGUGGGGGAUAACGUAGGGAAACUUACGCUAAUACCGCAUACGACCUACGGGUGAAAGCAGGGGAUCUUCGGACCUUGCGCGAUUGAAUGAGCCGAUGUCGGAUUAGCUAGUUGGCGGGGUAAAGGCCCACCAAGGCGACGAUCCGUAGCUGGUCUGAGGGGAUGAUCAGCCACACUGGAACUGAGACACGGUCCAGACUCCUACGGGAGGCAGCAGUGGGGAAUAUUGGACAAUGGGCGCAAGCCUGAUCCAGCCAUACCGCGUGGGUGAAGAAGGCCUUCGGGUUGUAAAGCCCUUUUGUUGGGAAAGAAAAGCAGCAGGUUAAUACCCCGCUGUUCUUACGGUACCCAAAGAAUAAGCACCGGCUAACUUCGUG